UGUUAAUAAUUUAUAUAAAAUAUUUUGAUGAAUAUUUAUAUAAUAUUAACAUAAUUCAUAUUACUAUUUUUUUUUUAGUAUAUGAAAUUUUACUUUGAGAAAAUUAGAGUGCUUAAAGCAGGCAUAUGCCUUGAAUACUCCAGCAUGGAAUAAUAUUAAAGAUUUUUAUCUUUUUUAUUGGUUCUAAGAUAAGAAUAAUGAUUAAUAGGGACAGUUGGGGGCAUUUGUAUUUAACAGUCAGAGGUGAAAUUCUUAGAUUUGUUAAAGACAAACUAAUGCGAAAGCAUUUGCCAAGGAUGUUUUCAUUAAUCAAGAACGAAAGUUAGGGGAUCGAGGACGAUCAGAUACCGUCGUAGUCUUAACCAUAAACUAUGCCAACUAGAGAUUGGAGGUUGUU
Molecule: ribosomal RNA, 397 nt
Filed under: Cryptosporidium environmental sequence
Lineage: Eukaryota; Apicomplexa; Conoidasida; Eucoccidiorida; Cryptosporidiidae
Description: partial small subunit ribosomal RNA
Rfam family: Eukaryotic small subunit ribosomal RNA
Source: RNAcentral